UGGGGGAAAACCCCCCUUUUUGCUAAAAGUAGCUAAAGCCCACUUCUUUUAAAUCACUGCAUUCCCUUAACCACCCUGAACAGCGAAGCAGAGCCUGCCUGCUGCUCCUGGACACAUUUCAUUUGACAAGUCUGACUUUCCUCUUCACCCCCUGAAAACACCCGCCACAAUCAGCAUUUCCAGGCCAUUAACCCUUCUCUCAAACGCCAGAUCCACACACAGCCCCGGCUCAGGCAGGAGAGCAAAGUUGGGUUUCUGGCACAAGCUUCAGGCCCUGAGCUGUCUCUGCCUGUUCCCCCGAAAACCAGACCCACAGGGAUGAUUGGGAAGGAGUGGGAAUUCACCCCGCGGGAGGAGGUGGCAGAGUCACUUUGCUGUCCAUAGCUGGCUACCAGCUGAGGAGCAAGGCUGGGUUGUUUUUACCCCUUUCUCCUCUCUCUUCUCCAGGAAUUAACUCACUGGGUGCUUUAAACACAUGGAAGGACAAAGAGAAUUUUUCCAAGUCUGUGCCCAACGUGGUUUGUGUGUUACGGACACAGCACCUGCAUGGCUCCCGCCAAUCCCAAAAACGUGGAGAACACUGCAUUGAACUGCCCCAGAACAGCACAAAGGACACAUGGCUGACAAAGUCCCUGAGCACAGACCCCACUGCAGCCAGAGGACAAAAGAGUCCAUUUCCAUUACAGAAAAAAAGACUCCAGUGGAAGCUUUAAGAUCAGCUCAAUGGAACAGAGUUCACAGAUGCACUCAGGAGGCACAGGACACGCGGCUGCUCAGCCGUGGGUUUCUCAACAGGCAUUUCUGUUAUGAAAACACCUCUCUCCUUGCUGGAACCUUGUUUAGAGUAGAAUCAAACCCUGCCAAAUAUUCCUCUCUACCUGUUAAUGGAUGAAAGGAAGCUGGAGAACGCAGGCCAUGGGACAGGUGAUUUUAUGGAGGAGUCAGUCACCCGUGCAAUGUUUCCACAAACACAACCCCGGAGAGUUCCAGCCCCAGAAAGGCUCCAAACAGCACCAGCCCCACGUUCCAUCGGGGUUUGGGCUCCUCAGAGGUGCCACUGAUGGCAGCAGAGAACUUUGCCCUCCAUAAAUACAGACUGAGCAGCAAGUUUU
This is a non-coding RNA of Taeniopygia guttata (zebra finch), 1112 nucleotides long. The record is from RefSeq and is a predicted model, not a curated record. Lineage: Eukaryota; Metazoa; Chordata; Aves; Passeriformes; Estrildidae.